Molecule: ribosomal RNA, 401 nt
Filed under: Escherichia coli
Lineage: Bacteria; Pseudomonadati; Pseudomonadota; Gammaproteobacteria; Enterobacterales; Enterobacteriaceae
Description: bacterial SSU rRNA
Rfam family: Bacterial small subunit ribosomal RNA
Source: RNAcentral
CUGAUACUGGCAAGCUUGAGUCUCGUAGAGGGGGGUAGAAUUCCAGGUGUAGCGGUGAAAUGCGUAGAGAUCUGGAGGAAUACCGGUGGCGAAGGCGGCCCCCUGGACGAAGACUGACGCUCAGGUGCGAAAGCGUGGGGAGCAAACAGGAUUAGAUACCCUGGUAGUCCACGCCGUAAACGAUGUCGACUUGGAGGUUGUGCCCUUGAGGCGUGGCUUCCGGAGCUAACGCGUUAAGUCGACCGCCUGGGGAGUACGGCCGCAAGGUUAAAACUCAAAUGAAUUGACGGGGGCCCGCACAAGCGGUGGAGCAUGUGGUUUAAUUCGAUGCAACGCGAAGAACCUUACCUGGUCUUGACAUCCACGGAAGUUUUCAGAGAUGAGAAUGUGCCUUCGGGAAC